UUUCCGUAGGUGAACCUGCGGAAGGAUCAUUAUCGUACAAAAUGUGAGUGGCAUGCGAGGGCUGUCGCUGCCCCAAAAGUCGUGCACGCCCGAGUGUGUCCUCUUGCAUUAUAAUCCAUUUCACCCUUUGUGCAUCGCCGCGUGGGCACCCUUCGGGAUCAUCUCGGAGGGGGGCUCACGUUUUCACACAAACCCCCCUUUUAAAAGUGUAGAAUGACCACAUUUAUGCAAUCAAUACAACUUUCAACAACGGAUCUCUUGGCUCUC
RNAcentral lists this unclassified non-coding RNA (267 nucleotides) under plant metagenome. Its description in RNAcentral is "partial contains small subunit ribosomal RNA, internal transcribed spacer 1, and 5.8S ribosomal RNA". The record is from RNAcentral.